ACACCCAGAGACCCAAACACUAAAUAACCUAAACCUAGCAAGUAGCAGCGCCACGCUUAGUCUCUCAUAGUCUCUCUCUAACAAAGGGACAUCAAUCCCCAAUCCCCAAUACACAGCCGUCGAGCCCCUUCCUCCCAGCAGCGUUUUCCUUCACCGUCGCCAACUCGCCGAACAGAGCCUCGCGGACAGCACCUCGGCGCGGUCCUCUCUCCCUCCCUCCCUCCCUCCUUUCGCAGUUCACAGUUGCCGUUUCCCUCCCUCGCGUCGCAACUUCUCCCUUUCCCUCCCUCGCUCUCGCAGCCUCUCCCUUCCUGUUGUGCUGGUGCUGCUGUUUUAAUUUGUAAAAUAGAAGAUUCGCCUUGAGCAGGAGAAUGAAGGCGUUCCUAGCACUGCAAUUCGCGAGAUUUCUCUCCUCAAGGAAAUGUAGCACAUGAAUAUUGUUAGGUCAAUGCGACUCUUUGGUUUGAGUGGAGCAAGAUCGAGACGCCUACGGAUGAAGUUGUUGUGCCUUAUGAUAGUCUAGCUCCAACUCCUGAAGGUGUGUGACAGGUGAAAGGAUGCACUUCAGCUUUGCUGCAAUUUGCAAAGACAACAAACAUCCCCGUUCUUUUGGUCUAUGUCCAGGGAUCACAAUUAUAAUGUGUUAUCUUUCAUUACAAGAAGAAAGAUCACCCAAUGCAGUGCAAGAGAAAGGUUUUAAUUUUGAUGAUACUAGGAUUAUGAGAGGAGCAUGGAGGAAUGAGUCUAAUCCUGAUAUCUGCAAGUUACAUAGGAGUUCUUCGGAUGCCUUGCUAUAUAUCAACAAAUGCACAGAUGCAUAGAAAUACGACUCUUCCUAUUUUAAGGGUUUACUAAAAUAGAUGAUUCUCCUCAUAUUUUAUACAUAAUAAUAAAAGGGAGGAUGAUGCACAAAACAUGUCUACCUUGCCCAGCAGUAUCUCAGCAAAUCAACCAACGAUGAUUGCGAACAUAGAUACUAAUGUAGAUAACCUACAAUUUUGAAGAAGCAAGUAUGCAGUUUAAUACAUUUACCUUACUGUAUCAACUGCCAAGUCUUAGGUGGUGUUUAUAUGUAUUUUUCAUUUUUUUAAAAUUUUCAAUGUACAAUAAGAAAUUGAGAUGUAUAAUGGAUAAUGAAUUUUAUAAAAGUAGGAUCACAUUUGUACGGGUAAAUUGAAACAUC
Molecule: long non-coding RNA, 1183 nt
Organism: Arachis duranensis
Lineage: Eukaryota; Viridiplantae; Streptophyta; Magnoliopsida; Fabales; Fabaceae
Exons: 6
Source: RefSeq, a predicted model, not a curated record